Molecule: transfer RNA, 77 nt
Filed under: Clostridiales bacterium
Lineage: Bacteria; Bacillati; Bacillota; Clostridia; Eubacteriales
Description: tRNA-His
Rfam family: tRNA
About the family: Transfer RNA (tRNA) molecules are approximately 80 nucleotides in length. Their secondary structure includes four short double-helical elements and three loops (D, anti-codon, and T loops).
Source: RNAcentral
GUGGGUAUAGCUCAGUUGGUUAGAGCGCCAGAUUGUGGCUCUGGAGGUCGUGGGUUCGAAUCCCAUUAUCCACCCCA